Molecule: ribosomal RNA, 239 nt
Filed under: uncultured Lactobacillus sp.
Lineage: Bacteria; Bacillati; Bacillota; Bacilli; Lactobacillales; Lactobacillaceae
Description: partial 16S ribosomal RNA
Rfam family: Bacterial small subunit ribosomal RNA
Source: RNAcentral
AACCUGCCCAAGAGAUCGGGAUAACACCUGGAAACAGAUGCUAAUACCGGAUAACAANAGAUGAUGCCUAUCAACUGUUUAAAAGAUGGUUCUGCUAUCACUCUUGGAUGGACCUGCGGUGCAUUAGCUAGUUGGUAGGGUAACGGCCUACCAAGGCGAUGAUGCAUAGCCGAGUUGAGAGACUGAUCGGCCACAUUGGGACUGAGACACGGCCCAAACUCCUACGGGAGGCAGCAGCC